Pteropus alecto (black flying fox) is the source of this 652-nucleotide long non-coding RNA. RefSeq lists it as uncharacterized. NCBI's taxonomy places the organism in Eukaryota, Metazoa, Chordata, Mammalia, Chiroptera, Pteropodidae. The transcript is spliced from 3 exons. The record is from RefSeq and is a predicted model, not a curated record.
AGACAAUAGGCUUGAAAAAGGGCAGAACACAGGGUGGUCCAGAUGCCCAGCUUCUUCCCACAUCGUGACACAUAGCUGUUUGGGAGAAGUUUUGCAAAUGUGAUCCUAAAAUACACCCCAACGUCAAGGAACAUUCUUUCUAUCAUGACGAAGCACAGAAUAAUACAUGUCCUAUGCAGCUAUUGUUACCCUAAUAACAAUAUCCUCUACUUGCACGUGUGUCACCCUUGAUCUCAUGCCACUAUUCAUCAGUUGGCCACUGGAGAUAGAAGUCAGUAGCAGCAUGGCCAGAUAGAACUGAGAACAAAGCCCUCUCCCUGCCUGUCUUGGGAUCCAUUUGGGUUGUGAAAGGUGAAAGGUCAGCCCAGAGAGCACCAGGCAACAGAGGGUCCCUCGGAGCCAGAGCUGCUGUCUAUGUAAUCGGAUCUGACCACAGAGAAUGUGACUAAGCGAAACCCCAUCUGCUGCGAGGUUUCCCUGUAUUCCCAGGAGGGACCGGAGCAGGAUAUGAGGCGGCGGCGGCGAGGUGAGGGUCUACACGGAAAUGGUGAGCCCCCUCAUGUGUAAUGUGUCUCACCGCAGGCCUGCGUGGGUCUCCCCCAGCAUGACAUCAUCCCAGAGCUCACCCGGGCUCAGGUCCACACACACUGCU